Molecule: ribosomal RNA, 1535 nt
Filed under: Iberolacerta horvathi
Lineage: Eukaryota; Metazoa; Chordata; Lepidosauria; Squamata; Lacertidae
Description: partial large subunit ribosomal RNA
Rfam family: Bacterial large subunit ribosomal RNA
Source: RNAcentral
GCCCAUAAAUAUAGCCACUUAAACACACAAACCCAUAACCAAAUUAAACCAAAACAUUUACCUCGACCAGUAAAUGAGAUUAAACACCAACACCCCAGCCUUGUAAGUACCGCAAGGGAAUAAUGAAAGAACAAUGAAAACUUCAAGCACAAAACAGCAAAGAUCAACCCCUGUACCUCCUGCAUCAUGGUUUAGCAAAACACUCCAGACAAAGAGAGCCUUUAGCCUGCCUCCCCGAAACCAAACGAGCUAUUUUUAGGCAGCCUAAACGAGCACACCCGUCCCUGUAGCAAAAGGGUGGGAAGACCUAAAAAUAGGGGCAAAAAGCCUACCGAGCUUGGUGAUAGCUGGUUACUCAACAAAAGAAUUUAAGUUCAACUUUAGGUGCACACAAGUCCACCACUCAUUAAAACCCUCACCUAAAGAAAAUCAAUGGGGGUACAGCCCCAUUGAACCGGAAUACAGCCCGAACAGAGAGACUUUUUAUUAUUUCCAAACCCAGUAGGCUUCAAAGCAGCCACCAAACAACCGCGUUAUAGCGAGAACCCAAACAAUUAAAACAACCUUAAAUUUCUCCUGACACACCCCGAGUAAUUCUAUACCAAUAUAGAAGCACUAAUGCUAAAAUUAGUAAUAAGAAACAAUUAUUUCUCUUUGCAUUCCCUUAAAUCAGAAUAGAAAAACCACUGAUAAUUAACAAAUCAAAACAUCCAACCUCACCACCUAGACAUAAUGUUUCCCCAAUUUGUUACCCCGACACAGGCAUGCAAAAAAGAAAGGCAAAAAGCUGCAAAAGGAACUCGGCAACUCCCAGUCUCAACUGUUUACCAAAAACAUAGCCUUUAGCCUAACAAGUAUUAAAGGUAUCGCCUGCCCAGUGACUCUUUAAACGGCCGCGGUAUCCUAACCGUGCAAAGGUAGCAUAAUCACUUGUCCCAUAAAUCGAGACCGGAAUGAACGGCUAAAUGAAGACUAAACUGUCUCUUGCAGCCAGACCAAUGAAAUUGAUCUUCCAGUACAAAAGCUGAAAUAUACCCAUAAGACGAGAAGACCCUGUGGAGCUUUAAAACCAAGCGCAUCAAGCAUGCCUCUUGGAUUUUUAGUUGGGGCGACUUUGGAGCAUAAAAAAACCUCCAAAACAUGAAAUUUAAAUUAAGACCAACACGACAAAAUAAUAACAUAAGACCCAGCAACCAACUACACGUUGACUGACCAAUGAACCAAGUUACCCCAGGGAUAACAGCGCCAUCCCCUUCCAGAGUCCAUAUCGACAAGGGGGUUUACGACCUCGAUGUUGGAUCAGGACACCCCAAUGGUGCAGCCGCCAUUAAAGGUUCGUUUGUUCAACGAUUAAAGUCCUACGUGAUCUGAGUUCAGACCGGAGAAAUCCAGGUCGGUUUCUAUCUAUGCGACACCAUCUUCAGUACGAAAGGACCAAGAUGGUAGGACCAAUAUUAAAUAAACGUCCUAAUCAAAACUACUGACCACCCCUAAAGUAGUAAACAUACCCCCCCCACCACCCAAAAUAAGGGUUU